UACGUAGGUGGCAAGCGUUGUCCGGAUUUACUGGGCGUAAAGAGCGCGCAGGCGGCUGGUCAAGUCCGAUGUGAAAUCUCCCGGCUUAACUGGGAAACUGCAUCGGAAACUGAUCGGCUUGAAGGUGGGAGAGGGUAGUGGAAUUCCCGGUGUAGUGGUGAGAUGCGUAGAUAUCGGGAGGAACACCAGUGGCGAAGGCGACUACCUGGCCCAUUCUUGAUGCUGAGGCGCGAAAGCUAGGGGAGCGAACGGG
Molecule: ribosomal RNA, 253 nt
Filed under: uncultured bacterium
Lineage: Bacteria
Description: partial 16S ribosomal RNA
Rfam family: Bacterial small subunit ribosomal RNA
Source: RNAcentral